Microcebus murinus (gray mouse lemur) is the source of this 1583-nucleotide non-coding RNA. The record is from RefSeq and is a predicted model, not a curated record. Lineage: Eukaryota; Metazoa; Chordata; Mammalia; Primates; Cheirogaleidae.
CAGAGCGGCCUCGCGCCGCGGCGGCCGGCGCGCCCCCUGCCGGUGGGCGGUGCGCACGGCAGCUCGGCCUGCUCUGAGUCAGAGACUCCGAAGGAGCCCGCUCUGAACCAGGGAAAGUACCCAAACCGCAGCUUGUGGAGAAGAAAGACAGCAUUUAUCCCAUCAGAGUCCGGGAGCAUUUUGCACUUUUCACGUCCCUUUUUCUAUAUACACAUCCCACCCCCUCAGCUACUGAGACGCUUCAAAGGCAAAGCCAGUUUUAUGGUGCUAUAGUUCACCAACUCCAGUUCUACAGCCAAGAUGACUUCCCCUGCACAGUGAGGGUCCCUCCUCUGAAUUCUAGCACCACUCACCCGGCCAAGCCACCCUCUAGAUGUCUCCUGCCCGUCUGGUCAAGGACCAUAUACUCUGCUCAGUCUGACAGUUUGUUCUUGCUUUCACUACAGAUGGGCCUGGCCUAAUGGCGUGUGAGAUGUGUGUGCAGAACACAGUUCUCACUUUAGCAUGUGGUUACAUCGGAAAGAAGACCACCCAAUGACAGCCUCUUUUCUGAUCCUAUCCUGGAGCAAGGUGUGUUGUGAUAUCACUAACUACAUGAAAAUCAGAAGAUGGAAAUCUGCAAGGAUUAUCUGCUUGAAAAAUUAAGAAAAAAUAAGAAGACUGUACCUGAAAAAGACAAUUUAACAUAUAUUGCUGCAGAAACAGAAGAAGAACGUCACAAACAAAUAAUGCUGAUUAUAUACCAGCACGCUUAGAUGCUUUCAGAAAAACUCAUCAAUAAAAAUCUCGCAAAGUAAAAGGAGCCUUUGAAGAAUUACUUUCUGUGUCAACUUGUACCCCCUUAUCCUUCGGGGGAUACCUUCCAAGAGCCACAGUGGAUGCCUGAAACCACAAAUAGUACCAAACUCUAUCGAUACUAUGUUUUUUCCUCUAUAUACACAACUUCGAUAAAGUCCAACUUAUCAAUCAGGCAGUACCCACAUCCAGGCUUUCUCCUGGCCACCAACUGUUCACAGAACACACCACACCAGCAAGGACUCAUCAGCGUGGGCACGAAGAACUACACACCUUUUCUCUCCUGAACUCCACGUGGUGUCAGAGCCCCGUAAGGACGGUUAUCACAGGGCAGCGUGUCAGAGAGAAGGCACGGCUGAACAGGACUCGUGGUGAAAAGGAGAAGCUUAUGUAAAUGUAACAUCAUAUAUGAAGAAGAGAGAGAGAGAGAGAAGAAAGGAAACAGGUUGGGGAAAUCCAGUUGGCCCCUUGGACAUCACCAGGCACAUCUGCAUUUAGAAAAUCAGAAGGCCUUGGCCGGGCUAUGGCCUGCCCCUCCUCCCACUCUGCUGCUCGAGAACUGACUGAGGGAUGUUCUGAAAGACCUCCUGGAAAGAAGUUUCUGGCUGGGCCUCCCUCCCAGAAGUGUCAGGCUGGGCCUGGGAAGCACCAGUCUCUGAGGAUGCUGAGGACAAGCAUGCUGCUUCCUCUCAUGUCCACUGCUUUCCCUGCGACCUUCCCCGAGUCUCUGGUCUCCAGCUGCAAGCAUGUGGCGAGAUGUCCCCAAAGGCCUUCUGGACUCAAGUAUC